AUUGAACGCUGGCGGCAUGCCUUACACAUGCCAGUCGAACGGCAGCACGGGUGCUUGCACCUGGUGGCGAGUGGCGAACGGGUGAGUAAUACAUCGGAACAUGUCCUGUAGUGGGGGAUAGCCCGGCGAAAGCCGGAUUAAUACCGCAUACGAUCUACGGAUGAAAGCGGGGGACCUUCGGGCCUCGCGCUAUAGGGUUGGCCGAUGGCUGAUUAGCUAGUUGGUGGGGUAAAGGCCUACCAAGGCGACGAUCAGUAGCUGGUCUGAGAGGACGACCAGCCACACUGGGACUGAGACACGGCCCAGACUCCUACGGGAGGCAGCAGUGGGGAAUUUUGGACAAUGGGCGAAAGCCUGAUCCAGCAAUGCCGCGUGUGUGAAGAAGGCCUUCGGGUUGUAAGCACUUUUGUCCGGAAAGAAAUCCUUGGCCCUAAUACGGUCGGGGGAUGACGGUACCGGAAGAAUAAGCACCGGCUAACUACGUG
RNAcentral lists this ribosomal RNA (485 nucleotides) under uncultured bacterium. RNAcentral describes it as "partial 16S ribosomal RNA". It matches the Rfam family "Bacterial small subunit ribosomal RNA", at positions 30 to 507 of the family's 1533-position model. The record is from RNAcentral.